CAGCAGCCACGGGAAUACGUAGGUGGCAAGCGUUGUCCGGAAUUAUUGGGCGUAAAGCGCGCGCAGGCGGAUAGGUCAGUCUGUCUUAAAAGUUCGGGGCUUAACCCCGUGAUGGGAUGGAAACUGCCAAUCUAGAGUAUCGGAGAGGAAAGUGGAAUUCUUAGUGUAGCGGUGAAAUGCGUAGAUAUUAGGAAGAACACCAGUGGCGAAGGCGACUUUCUGGACGAAAACUGACGCUGAGGCGCGAAAGCCAGGGGAGCGAACGGGAUUAGAGACCCCUGUAGUCCCUGUCUCUUAUCCA
Molecule: ribosomal RNA, 301 nt
Filed under: uncultured bacterium
Lineage: Bacteria
Description: partial 16S ribosomal RNA
Rfam family: Bacterial small subunit ribosomal RNA
Source: RNAcentral